Molecule: ribosomal RNA, 253 nt
Filed under: uncultured bacterium
Lineage: Bacteria
Description: partial 16S ribosomal RNA
Rfam family: Bacterial small subunit ribosomal RNA
Source: RNAcentral
UACAGAGGUCUCGAGCGUUAGGCGGAAUCACUGGGCUUAAAGCGUGUGUAGGCGGAUCGUUAAGUGCCUUGUGAAAUCCCACGGCUCAACCGUGGAACUGCUUGGCAUACUGGCGGUCUUGAGCAACCUAGGGGCGAGCGGAACAAAUGGUGGAGCAGUGAAAUGCGUAGAUAUCAUUUGGAACGCCAAUGGUGAAAACAGCUCGCUGGGGGUUUGCUGACGCUGAGACACGAAAGCCAGGGGAGCAAACGGG